Oryza sativa Japonica Group (Japanese rice) is the source of this 1484-nucleotide long non-coding RNA. RefSeq lists it as uncharacterized. The record is from RefSeq and is a predicted model, not a curated record. NCBI's taxonomy places the organism in Eukaryota, Viridiplantae, Streptophyta, Magnoliopsida, Poales, Poaceae.
AUGAAGCCGCGCUGCUGGGGACAUCCUCCAUGACCCACUCAAAGCCCUUGGGAUAGUAGAUCCCUGUUCUUGGGUGUGGCACCCACAAUGCUGUCUCCGCUGACCUUGCUUCUGAAGGCUGCACCCGGCUCAUAAGGUUCAGAGUGGAUGACUAGUUACCGGAGCAGACCAGCCGAUUUUGCAAUUGCACUUCGGCCCAUCGAUGCGAGGUGGAGAAACACAAUAAAGGUUCUACUGGCAGACCUUUCCUCCUUGGUAUCGACUAGCCGAUGCGCUGAUGGCAGUUCCUUCUUGCUUGGUACCUUACCUCCCCAACCCUGGUAUUUAUAUGCCAGUUUUAGCUUUGUUAGUGCAGUCUUCCAACAUAGUUAGGGCAAUUACAAAUACACUGUAUACUUGGUAGAUUAUGAGUGAGUGAACAGGAUAACCUGACGAUAAACUGUGUUUAGUACUUAUCUGGAGGAUUACGAAUUAUUUUGUUCGCAGUCACUGCCUUCUAGUUGAGCAACCAAAAUGGGGUUUUGAGCCUGAUUGGACUCCUUUGGACAAAAACAUUGUGGAACUGAUGCUCCCAGAAUCUGAAGUCAAUUCUGGCCAAGUACAGUCCUGGGGUGGUACUAUUGCUACGUGUAGAAUCAUGAGACAGCACAACCUGUGCUAGGUGUUUCCAUAUUCAAAAAGAAAAGAACACAGCUAUAAAGCAAUUACGCUAUCUUUAUGCUAAAUGGUGCUAUAGUUAUGAAGGAUAUUUUAGAAUUUCUUGUGAACUCCAUAUGGGUAGCAACUGACAUGUCGGCUCUAUUGAUAGGUGGAUUCAGUUUAUUACCCAUCUUCCAGUGACUAACUGAACUGAUCUUGGACUAGAAUUUUAUAUAUCCUCAUGGCAGAGAUGUUCGCUUACUGGAUGCUUCUGGGUACGGUCAAGAAUUUUCGCAUACGGUACUUCCUGACCUGAUCCAUCUUCCCCAUGCAUUUCUUUCUGAUCAGGAUGAUUAACAAUCACUUUGCACAAUAAUGGAGGGGAUGAGCAUCUGGUUCCCCUUGUAGGAUGCAGAUAUAGCUGCGGUGCAAAACUAAAGACGGAGCAUUUUCGAUUGCUUCUUGUCUCUUCUUGCUGCAGGGGAAAAAAGUAAAAUAUUUUCCCUCCAGAUUUGAUACUAGGGUCGGUGAUACUAGGAGAGGUCUGACAAUGGAAUAAAGCACACAUUCUUGUAUUGUUGUUGUCAUCAGCUUCGAUUCUUCUGUUCUCUCCUUUUGGUUUCAGUGGAAGGCUAUGGUGUAGGAUGAUGUGCUGCUUUACAAACUACAGUACAAAUAUCUUUAUCUCUAGGAUCUCAAUGGUUUACUUUGUCAGAAAAACUUUGAUGAACUAGACAUUACUACAGGUGCAGUAAAAAUUCUGCUUCAAAGUUCAAAGUUUACGCUGGAAUAUUGGGGAAUGAAUGAAGGAAUGAAAGAUUUGCCAGUAGUCUGGCCUUUUUUUU